AUUAUCUUACUCUAUUGCAAUGAGGCAUGUUUAAUAACCUGUUCGAGCAACCAGUGAAGGGCAAGCCUGGUGCCAGCAGCCGCGGUAAUUCCAGCUUCACGAGUGUAUAUGUAAGUUGUUGCAGUUAAAAAGCUCGUAGUUGAACUUCUUUUUGUUCAGAAGGCGUGCAAGCGCAAUCUGGGCGAAAAUCCGCCUGAAAAAUCAUUCGGGUCUUCACUGAUUCAGUGAUGGAUCAGGCAUUUUACUUUGAAAAAAUUAGAGUGUUCAAAGCAGGCUCACGCCUGAAUACAUUAGCAUGGAAUAAUAGAAUAGGACGCUGUUCAAUUUGUUGGUUAUUGAAUUGCGUAAUGAUUAAUAGGGACAGUUGGGGGCAUUUGUAUUUAAUUGUCAGAGGUGAAAUUCUUGGAUUUAUUAAAGACAAACUUAUGCGAAAGCAUUUGCCAAGGAUGUUUUCAUUAAUCAAGAACGAAAGUUAGAGGAUCAAAGACGAUCAGAUACCGUCCUAGUUUUAACUAUAAACUAUGCCGACUCGGUCUCAGUCAAGUCUUCCUAACUUGAUUGGUGCCGUAUGAGAAAUCAAAGUCUUUGGGUUCCGGGGGGAGUAUGGUCGCAAGGUUGAAACUUAAAGGAAUAGACGGAACAUCACUACCAGGUGUGGAUCCUGCGGCUUAAUUUGACGCAACACGGGGAAACUUACCAGCGCAAAACAAGGGUGGGAUUGACAGAUUGAGAGCUCUUUCUUGAUUCUUUGGAUAGUGGUGCAUGGCCGUUCUUAGUUGGUGGAGUGAUUUGUCUGCUUAAUUGCGUUAACGAACGAGACCUCAACCUACUUACUAGACGCGUGAUUAAUUCAUCGCGUGUUCUUCUUAGAGGGACUGUGCGGAGACAAACGCAAGGAAGUUUGAGGCAAUAACAGGUCUGUGAUGCCCUUAGAUGUGCUGGGCCGCACGCGGGAUACAAUGACCCGUUCAGAAAGUAUAACCUGACCCGGAAGGGAGUGGGUAAUCUUUUUAAUGCGGGUCGUGCUAGGGAUCGAUCUUUGCAAUUAUAGAUCUUGAACGAGGAAUACCUAGUAAGUGCAAGUCAUCAGCUUGUACUGAUUACGUCCCUGGUGUUUGUACUCACCGCCCGUCGCUCCUACCAAUUUCGAAUGAUCCGGUGAACCUUUUGGAUUGGGUGCAAGCCUAAGAAGUUAAGUAAACCUUAUCAUUUAGAGGAAGGAGAAGUC
Molecule: ribosomal RNA, 1228 nt
Filed under: metagenome
Description: SSU rRNA
Rfam family: Eukaryotic small subunit ribosomal RNA
Source: RNAcentral